GUGGUUUCCCCUUCGCCGGCAGCGGCGGGGCCGGUCUGCGGGCGGGGAGGUGCCGCGGCCGGCCCGGGAGGAUGCGGACACCCUGACGGAGCUGCCGGCUCCGUGCACGGCCGGCGGGAGGCUGCCGGCCUCCCCUCGCCUCGCCUCGCCUCGCCGACACUUUUAGGAUUUGACAGAGUCUGCAGAACAUUUCAUCAGCAGGAGUGAACAUCUGCAGCAGUUUCUGGAAACGACACCCAUUUAUGUGAUUGAAGCAUGACAGAGGUGAUGAACACACGGGAACCGGUGAUGGAGGAAUUCACGCUCAGCCAGUCUCCUGAGGAAGAAGGAGGCCCUUCCAGCCAGGGCUUCCCAGACACGCGUGAGAAAUACCCCAAGCUGUCCAAAAGACUACCAUCGAUCGU
This is a long non-coding RNA of Cygnus atratus (black swan), 404 nucleotides long. RefSeq lists it as uncharacterized. Lineage: Eukaryota; Metazoa; Chordata; Aves; Anseriformes; Anatidae. The record is from RefSeq and is a predicted model, not a curated record. The transcript has 4 exons.